This 209-nucleotide ribosomal RNA is filed under the name uncultured bacterium. Its description in RNAcentral is "partial 16S ribosomal RNA". It matches the Rfam family "Bacterial small subunit ribosomal RNA", at positions 1283 to 1500 of the family's 1533-position model. The record is from RNAcentral.
GGUACCCAGUUCGGACUGCAGGCUGCAACCCGCCCUGCACGAAGCCGGAGUUGCUAGUAAUCGCGAAUCAGAAUGUCGCGGUGAAUGCGUUCCCGGGUCUUGUACACACCGCCCGUCACACCAUGGAAGUUGGGGGUGCCCAAAGCCGGCAAGCAAAUAUGCUGUCUAAGGCAAAACCAAUGACUGGGGUGAAGUCGUAACAAGGUAGC